RNAcentral lists this ribosomal RNA (1551 nucleotides) under Staphylococcus roterodami. RNAcentral describes it as "16S ribosomal RNA". It matches the Rfam family "Bacterial small subunit ribosomal RNA". Lineage: Bacteria; Bacillati; Bacillota; Bacilli; Caryophanales; Staphylococcaceae. The record is from RNAcentral.
UUUAUGGAGAGUUUGAUCCUGGCUCAGGAUGAACGCUGGCGGCGUGCCUAAUACAUGCAAGUCGAGCGAACGGACGAGAAGCUUGCUUCUCUGAUGUUAGCGGCGGACGGGUGAGUAACACGUGGAUAACCUACCUAUAAGACUGGGAUAACUUCGGGAAACCGGAGCUAAUACCGGAUAAUAUUUUGAACCGCAUGGUUCAAAAGUGAAAGACGGUCUUGCUGUCACUUAUAGAUGGAUCCGCGCUGCAUUAGCUAGUUGGUAAGGUAACGGCUUACCAAGGCAACGAUGCAUAGCCGACCUGAGAGGGUGAUCGGCCACACUGGAACUGAGACACGGUCCAGACUCCUACGGGAGGCAGCAGUAGGGAAUCUUCCGCAAUGGGCGAAAGCCUGACGGAGCAACGCCGCGUGAGUGAUGAAGGUCUUCGGAUCGUAAAACUCUGUUAUUAGGGAAGAACAUAUGUGUAAGUAACUGUGCACAUCUUGACGGUACCUAAUCAGAAAGCCACGGCUAACUACGUGCCAGCAAACUGGUAAUACGUAGGUGGCAAGCGUUAUCCGGAAUUAUUGGGCGUAAAGCGCGCGUAGGCGGUUUUUUAAGUCUGAUGUGAAAGCCCACGGCUCAACCGUGGAGGGUCAUUGGAAACUGGAAAACUUGAGUGCAGAAGAGGAAAGUGGAAUUCCAUGUGUAGCGGUGAAAUGCGCAGAGAUAUGGAGGAACACCAGUGGCGAAGGCGACUUUCUGGUCUGUAACUGACGCUGAUGUGCGAAAGCGUGGGGAUCAAACAGGAUUAGAUACCCUGGUAGUCCACGCCGUAAACGAUGAGUGCUAAGUGUUAGGGGGUUUCCGCCCCUUAGUGCUGCAGCUAACGCAUUAAGCACUCCGCCUGGGGAGUACGACCGCAAGGUUGAAACUCAAAGGAAUUGACGGGGACCCGCACAAGCGGUGGAGCAUGUGGUUUAAUUCGAAGCAACGCGAAGAACCUUACCAAAUCUUGACAUCCUUUGACAACUCUAGAGAUAGAGCCUUCCCCUUCGGGGGACAAAGUGACAGGUGGUGCAUGGUUGUCGUCAGCUCGUGUCGUGAGAUGUUGGGUUAAGUCCCGCAACGAGCGCAACCCUUAAGCUUAGUUGCCAUCAUUAAGUUGGGCACUCUAAGUUGACUGCCGGUGACAAACCGGAGGAAGGUGGGGAUGACGUCAAAUCAUCAUGCCCCUUAUGAUUUGGGCUACACACGUGCUACAAUGGACAAUACAAAGGGCAGCGAAACCGCGAGGUCAAGCAAAUCCCAUAAAGUUGUUCUCAGUUCGGAUUGUAGUCUGCAACUCGACUACAUGAAGCUGGAAUCGCUAGUAAUCGUAGAUCAGCAUGCUACGGUGAAUACGUUCCCGGGUCUUGUACACACCGCCCGUCACACCACGAGAGUUUGUAACACCCGAAGCCGGUGGAGUAACCUUUUAGGAGCUAGCCGUCGAAGGUGGGACAAAUGAUUGGGGUGAAGUCGUAACAAGGUAGCCGUAUCGGAAGGUGCGGCUGGAUCACCUCCUUU